UAAUACGUAGGGUGCGAGCGUUAAUCGGAAUUACUGGGCGUAAAGCGUGCGCAGGCGGUUGUGUAAGACAGGCGUGAAAUCCCCGGGCUCAACCUGGGAACUGCGUUUGUGACUGCACAGCUAGAGUAUGGCAGAGGGGGGUGGAAUUCCACGUGUAGCAGUGAAAUGCGUAGAGAUGUGGAGGAACACCGAUGGCGAAGGCAGCCCCCUGGGUCGACACUGACGCUCAUGCACGAAAGCGUGGGGAGCAAACAGGAUUAGAUACCCUGGUAGUCCACGCCCUAAACGAUGCGAACUAGGUGUUGGGGAAGGAGACUUCUUUAGUACCGGAGCUAACGCGUGAAGUUGACCGCCUGGGGAGUACGGCCGCAAGGUUAAAACUCAAAUGAAUUGACGG
This 397-nucleotide ribosomal RNA is filed under the name bacterium enrichment culture. RNAcentral's name for it is "bacterial SSU rRNA". It matches the Rfam family "Bacterial small subunit ribosomal RNA", at positions 521 to 916 of the family's 1533-position model. The record is from RNAcentral.